GACGAACGCUGGCGGCGUGCUUAACACAUGCAAGUCGAACGGAAAGGCCCUGCUUUUGUGGGGUACUCGAGUGGCGAACGGGUGAGUAACACGUGAGUAACCUGCCCUUGACUUUGGGAUAACUUCAGGAAACUGGGGCUAAUACCGGAUAGGAGCUCCUGCUGCAUGGUGGGGGUUGGAAAGUUUCGGCGGUUGGGGAUGGACUCGCGGCUUAUCAGCUUGUUGGUGGGGUAGUGGCUUACCAAGGCUUUGACGGGUAGCCGGCCUGAGAGGGUGACCGGCCACAUUGGGACUGAGAUACGGCCCAGACUCCUGCGGGAGGCAGCAGUGGGGAAUAUUGCACAAUGGGCGGAAGCCUGAUGCAGCAACGCCGCGUGCGGGAUGACGGCCUUCGGGCUGUAAACCGCUUUCGCCUGUGACGAAGCGUGAGUGACGGUAAUGGGUAAAGAAGCACCGGCUAACUACGUG
This 468-nucleotide ribosomal RNA is filed under the name uncultured bacterium. RNAcentral describes it as "partial 16S ribosomal RNA". It matches the Rfam family "Bacterial small subunit ribosomal RNA", at positions 28 to 507 of the family's 1533-position model. The record is from RNAcentral.